Molecule: ribosomal RNA, 313 nt
Filed under: uncultured bacterium
Lineage: Bacteria
Description: bacterial SSU rRNA
Rfam family: Bacterial small subunit ribosomal RNA
Source: RNAcentral
AUUGAACGCUGGCGGCAGGCCUAACACAUGCAAGUCGAACGGUAACAGGAAGCAGCUUGCUGCUUCGCUGACGAGUGGCGGACGGGUGAGUAAUGUCUGGGAAACUGCCUGAUGGAGGGGGAUAACUACUGGAAACGGUAGCUAAUACCGCAUAACGUCGCAAGACCAAAGAGGGGGACCUUCGGGCUCUUGCCAUCGGAUGUGCCCAGAUGGGAUUAGCUAGUAGGUGGGGUAACGGGCUCACCUAGGCGACGAUCCCUAGCUGGUCUGAGAGGAUGACCAGCCACACUGGAACUGAGACACGGUCCAGACU